RNAcentral lists this long non-coding RNA (235 nucleotides) under Elaeis guineensis (African oil palm). RNAcentral's name for it is "long non-coding RNA (EGUI_LNC061914)". The record is from RNAcentral. Lineage: Eukaryota; Viridiplantae; Streptophyta; Magnoliopsida; Arecales; Arecaceae.
CUCUAGCAUAGAGAUCAUCAUCCUUCUAUUAUCUUCUUUUUCUCUAUGAGUGUCUUGAGAGAAAAGAAGAUUUUUCAAAUAUCAAGAUGCGAUCUCUACAAGGAAGCUAGUAUCCUGAUGAGAUCAAAAAACUUUUGAUCAGAUCAAAGUCUCGUAUGGAUAUCCGUAGAGAUCGGACACUUGUACGAUUUCAAGAGACCUUCAAAAGACAUCCAUGAUCAUCAGUUUGCGGUAC